CUUCUACUCCCUCCAUCCGGAAAUACUUGUCCUAUAAAUGAAUGUAUCUAGACUUAUUUUAGUUAUAGAUACAUCUAUUUUAUUCAUUUUUAGGACAAGUAAUUUUGGACGGAGGGAGUACUCC
RNAcentral lists this microRNA precursor (124 nucleotides) under Hordeum vulgare. RNAcentral's name for it is "microRNA MIR1122". It matches the Rfam family "MIR1120/MIR1122 microRNA precursor family". The record is from RNAcentral. Lineage: Eukaryota; Viridiplantae; Streptophyta; Magnoliopsida; Poales; Poaceae.